RNAcentral lists this ribosomal RNA (480 nucleotides) under uncultured bacterium. Its description in RNAcentral is "bacterial SSU rRNA". It matches the Rfam family "Bacterial small subunit ribosomal RNA", at positions 28 to 507 of the family's 1533-position model. The record is from RNAcentral.
GAUGAACGCUAGCGGCAGGCCUAACACAUGCAAGUCGAGGGGUAGAGUGGCUUCGGCUACUUGAGACCGGCGCACGGGUGCGUAACGCGUAUGCAAUCUACCUUGUACAGGGGGAUAGCCCAGAGAAAUUUGGAUUAAUACCCCAUAGUUUAGUUAAAUGGCAUCAUUUGGCUAAUAAAGUUCCAACGGUACAAGAUGAGCAUGCGUCCCAUUAGUUAGUUGGUAAGGUAACGGCUUACCAAGACGAUGAUGGGUAGGGGUCCUGAGAGGGAGAUCCCCCACACUGGUACUGAGACACGGACCAGACUCCUACGGGAGGCAGCAGUGAGGAAUAUUGGUCAAUGGGCGCAAGCCUGAACCAGCCAUGCCGCGUGCAGGAAGACGGUCCUAUGGAUUGUAAACUGCUUUUAUACGGGAAGAAACACUCCCUCGUGAGGGAGCUUGACGGUACCGUAAGAAUAAGGAUCGGCUAACUCCGUG